UACGUAGGGGGCGAGCGUUAUCCGGAUUUACUGGGCGUAAAGCGCGUUAAGGCGGUUGGCAAAGUUGGUUGUGAAAUCUCAGGGCUCAACCCUGAAAUUGCGACCAAUACUGGUCGACUAGAGUGUGAGAGAGGAAGGUGGAAUUCCCGGUGUAGUAGUGAAAUGCGUAGAUAUCGGGAGGAACACCAGUGGCGAAGGCGGCAUCCUGGACCGGUAUUGACGCUGAGGAGCGAAAGCCAGGGGAGCAAAGCGGGG
This 255-nucleotide ribosomal RNA is filed under the name uncultured bacterium. RNAcentral describes it as "partial 16S ribosomal RNA". It matches the Rfam family "Bacterial small subunit ribosomal RNA", at positions 524 to 778 of the family's 1533-position model. The record is from RNAcentral.